RNAcentral lists this ribosomal RNA (301 nucleotides) under uncultured bacterium. Its description in RNAcentral is "partial 16S ribosomal RNA". It matches the Rfam family "Bacterial small subunit ribosomal RNA", at positions 509 to 807 of the family's 1533-position model. The record is from RNAcentral.
CAGCAGCCGCGGUAAAACGAAGGGUGCAAGCGUUAAUCGGAAUUACUGGGCGUAAAGCGUGCGUAGGCGGUGAGUUAAGUCUGCUGUGAAAUCCCCGGGCUCAACCUGGGAAUGGCAGUGGAUACUGGCUCGCUAGAGUGUGUCAGAGGAUGGUGGAAUUCCCGGUGUAGCGGUGAAAUGCGUAGAGAUCGGGAGGAACAUCAGUGGCGAAGGCGGCCAUCUGGGACAACACUGACGCUGAGGCACGAAAGCGUGGGAAGCAAACAGGAUUAGAUACCCGCGUAGUCCCUGUCUCUUAUAC